RNAcentral lists this ribosomal RNA (253 nucleotides) under uncultured bacterium. Its description in RNAcentral is "partial 16S ribosomal RNA". It matches the Rfam family "Bacterial small subunit ribosomal RNA", at positions 524 to 776 of the family's 1533-position model. The record is from RNAcentral.
CACGUAGGGCGCAAGCGUUGUCCGGAAUUAUUGGGCGUAAAGAGCUCGUAGGCGGUCCGUCACGUCCGCUGUGAAAACCCAGGGCUCAACCCUGGGCUUGCAGUGGAUACGGGCAGACUAGAGGUAGGUAGGGGAGAAUGGAAUUCCCGGUGUAGCGGUGAAAUGCGCAGAUAUCGGGAGGAACACCGGUGGCGAAGGCGGUUCUCUGGGCCUUACCUGACGCUGAGGAGCGAAAGCCAGGGGAGCAAACGGG